ACAACCAAUAUCAAUGGAUCUCUAGGCUCUGGUAUCGAUGAAGAACGCAGCGAGAAGCGAUAUCUGAUAUGAAUCGCAAAUCCCUGGAAUCAUUGAGU
Molecule: ribosomal RNA, 98 nt
Filed under: Protostelium mycophagum
Lineage: Eukaryota; Evosea; Variosea; Protosteliida; Protosteliaceae
Description: partial 5.8S ribosomal RNA
Rfam family: 5.8S ribosomal RNA
About the family: 5.8S ribosomal RNA (5.8S rRNA) is a component of the large subunit of the eukaryotic ribosome. It is transcribed by RNA polymerase I as part of the 45S precursor that also contains 18S and 28S rRNA.
Source: RNAcentral